Molecule: ribosomal RNA, 285 nt
Filed under: uncultured bacterium
Lineage: Bacteria
Description: partial 16S ribosomal RNA
Rfam family: Bacterial small subunit ribosomal RNA
Source: RNAcentral
CCUACGGGGGGCAGCAGUGAGGAAUAUUGGUCAAUGGUCGGGAGACUGAACCAGCCAAGCCGCGUGAGGGAUGAAGGUACAGAGUAUCGUAAACCUCUUUUGUCAGGGAACAAAGGCGGGGACGCGUCCCCGGAUGAGUGUACCUGAAGAAAAAGCAUCGGCUAACUACGUGCCAGCAGCCGCGGUAGUACGUAGGUGGCAAGCGUUGUCCGGAUUUAUUGGGCGUAAAGCGAGUGCAGGCGGUUCAAUAAAUCUGAUGUGGAAACCUUCGGCGCAACAGGAGAA